This 79-nucleotide small RNA is filed under the name Flavobacterium sp. KMS. RNAcentral describes it as "Flavo-1 RNA". It matches the Rfam family "Flavo-1 RNA". Lineage: Bacteria; Pseudomonadati; Bacteroidota; Flavobacteriia; Flavobacteriales; Flavobacteriaceae. The record is from Rfam by way of RNAcentral.
CUCUAGCCCUGAUAGAAGCGGUAUCCUUUUUCUGGCUUCUUUAGACAGGAAAAGAUACAAGCGGAUAGCAGGAAAUAGU